GGAGGAGAAGCACCACAAGCAUCUUGGGCAACUGGGCAAGCUAGGUGCUGCUGCUGCUGGCACUUACGCCUUGCAUGAGAAGCAUGCGGCAAAGAAAGAUCCAGAGCAUGCCCAUGGGCACAAGAUAAAAGAGGAGGUAGCUGCAGCGGCUGCAAUAGGAGCUGGGGGAUUUGCCUUCCAUGAGCAUCAUGAGAAGAAAGAAGCCAAGAAAAAGAAUGAAGAAGGUCAUGGAAAGAAGCACCACCAUCCCUUUUAACUCCAUACGUGUGUGUUUAUGUGUUCAUGUUUUUUAAUUAUCUAUCAGUUGGAUCGAGUUGGGUGUGAAAGCUUUUCCAUUGCCUGUUCAUCUCUGUAACAGUUGCAUGUUAAUUGUAAGCUUUUAUGUAUGUAUGCUCUUAUAUAUUAAAUAUUAUUGAAAGUUAGUUUCAGGUGUUUCUGCAAUUUGAUUAAGCCUUUUUACCGUUAGGUGUUAUCUAGCCUUUUUAAUUGCUC
RNAcentral lists this unclassified non-coding RNA (492 nucleotides) under Hevea brasiliensis (rubber tree). Lineage: Eukaryota; Viridiplantae; Streptophyta; Magnoliopsida; Malpighiales; Euphorbiaceae. The record is from RNAcentral.